AAGCUCGUAGUUGAAUUUCGGCAUUAAUGCGCCGGUCGUGCCUUCGGUAUGUACUGGUGUUACUGGUUCCUACCUUCUGACGAACCGUCAUGUCAUUAAUUUGGUGUGGCGGGGAAUCAGGACUGUUACUUUGAAAAAAUUAGAGUGUUUAAAGCAGGCUCGCGCUUGAAUACAUUAGCAUGGAAUAAUGAAAUAGGACGUUCGAUCCUAUUUUGUUGGUUUCUAGGAUUGACGUAAUGAUUAAUAGGGAUAGUUGGGGGCAUUAGUAUUCAAUUGUCAGAGGUGAAAUUCUUGGAUUUAUUGAAGACUAACUACUGCGAAAGCAUUUGCCAAGGAUGUUUUCAUUAAUCAAGAACGAAAGUUAGGGGAUCGAAGACGAUCAGAUACCGUCGUAGUUUUAACCAUAAACUAUGCCGACUAGGGAUCGGAUGAUGUUAUUUUUAAUGACUCAUUCGGCGCCUUACGGGAAACCAAAGUGUUUGGGUUCCGGGGGGAGUAUGGUCGCAAGGCUGAAACUUAAAGGAAUUGACGGAAGGGCACCACCAGGGGUGGAGCCUGCGGCUUAAUUUGACUCAACACGGGGAAA
Molecule: ribosomal RNA, 586 nt
Filed under: uncultured Glomus
Lineage: Eukaryota; Fungi; Glomeromycota; Glomeromycetes; Glomerales; Glomeraceae
Description: SSU rRNA
Rfam family: Eukaryotic small subunit ribosomal RNA
Source: RNAcentral